UACGGAGGGUGCAAGCGUUAUUCGGAAUUACUGGGCGUAAAGGGAGCGUAGGCGGACUGUUUAGUCAGAGGUGAAAGCCCAGGGCUCAACCUUGGAAUUGCCUUUGAUACUGGCAGUCUUGAGUACGGAAGAGGUAUGUGGAACUCCGAGUGUAGAGGUGAAAUUCGUAGAUAUUCGGAAGAACACCAGUGGCGAAGGCGACAUACUGGUCCGUUACUGACGCUGAGGCUCGAAAGCGUGGGGAGCAAACAGG
RNAcentral lists this ribosomal RNA (253 nucleotides) under uncultured bacterium. RNAcentral describes it as "partial 16S ribosomal RNA". It matches the Rfam family "Bacterial small subunit ribosomal RNA", at positions 524 to 776 of the family's 1533-position model. The record is from RNAcentral.